GAGUGAAAGAUGUACAAAUGAAGAAACCGAGGCUGAGAGAGCUUUAUUCAAUUUUGAGUUUUCUCCAGAAUCAGGUUCCAGGAGUCAGCAAGUUCUCUUAACUGAAAUUUCCCACGCUGGUCUAAGGAUUCAAGAUCCUAUAAAGGUCCCAGAGAGUUGGCAGCCACAGCCCUGCUCCACCCGCCAUUUUGGAAGAUUCACUCUUCUUGCUUUUUACCUUUUGUCAAAUCUUGCCUACAAUACAAGUAUCUCUUUCACUUAUCUGCCAAUUAGUGGGGGUUGAAGAACUUCCCCCUCCUCUUUGGGGAAACUGCUAAAUCCCAUCUGUUCUGUGAAGUGGUCCAGAGACAAGAAAUGAGUGACCAUCUUUUACAUUGUCCUCAUCCAUUAAACCUUUAAUUUAUUUUUUAAAA
This 413-nucleotide long non-coding RNA is filed under the name Monodelphis domestica (gray short-tailed opossum). Its description in RNAcentral is "lncRNA (ENSMODG00000047064.1)". The record is from RNAcentral. Lineage: Eukaryota; Metazoa; Chordata; Mammalia; Didelphimorphia; Didelphidae.